CAAGGCACAAGGACAGACCAUCCCAGUUGUCGGCGUGUAUCUACCGGAGGCGGUAUUCUCCCAUGGUCAGCUCUAUGUUGCAUUGUCCAGAGCCACCGCAAAAAGCAACAUUAAGAUUCUCGCUGUCAAGGACCAGGAAAAGAACCAGAACAAGAAUUCAAAGAAGCGGAAAAGAUCUGAGUCCUUAGUUACGACCACAAAGAACAUAGUGUACAAAGAAGUCCUUACUGUUUGAUGUCACCGGGCAAAAUCUGAGCAGCUUCCCUGUUGAUCCUUAUAUACCACUUCUGUAAAGGUUGGAGCAAGAAAGCCAGAACUGUUCUGCAAGACAUUUGAAGAAGCUCACAACAAGCUUGUACUGGCCUCUCGUUUUCAAAAAAUAUUGCAGUCUCUGUUUUUUUGGGAGAUCUUACAAGAUUGUGUCUACUUGUGGAGAUAUACAAAGAACUGAAUCUGGAGGUAGUUCAAAGAUUCCUGAAUGUCUACAAGUACUGAUGAUGAAGUGUAAUGGAUGCUGCUGAGAAACCUUCAAAUGCCAAUGGACUCGGUUUUAGCAUCCAUGCUGAUGAUGUUAAGAUUUAUGAUUUGCUUUUCUGGUUCUCAUCUUGUGAGAAGGUGAUACAGAAAUUCGUUGUUGAUUAGCUACAUUAAAAUGUUUCCUCUGUUUCAAAAUGUAUGCGACGUUUACCACAUGUUUCAAAAGCAACUGUAUUAAUUU
This is a long non-coding RNA of Lolium perenne, 718 nucleotides long. RefSeq lists it as uncharacterized. Lineage: Eukaryota; Viridiplantae; Streptophyta; Magnoliopsida; Poales; Poaceae. The record is from RefSeq and is a predicted model, not a curated record.